RNAcentral lists this ribosomal RNA (484 nucleotides) under uncultured bacterium. RNAcentral describes it as "partial 16S ribosomal RNA". It matches the Rfam family "Bacterial small subunit ribosomal RNA", at positions 30 to 507 of the family's 1533-position model. The record is from RNAcentral.
AUUGAACGCUGGCGGCAGGCCUAACACAUGCAAGUCGAGCGGAGGAAGGGAGCUUGCUUUUGGAUUCAGCGGCGGACGGGUGAGUAAUGCCUAGGAAUAUGCCUGGUAGUGGGGGAUAACGACCGGUAACGGGGGUUAAUACCGCAUCCGUACUGUGGGAGUAAGUGGGGGAUUUUUGGACCUCACGCUUUCAGAUAAGACUAGGUCGGAUUAGGUAGUGUGUGGGGUAAAGGCCUACCAAGGCGUACAUCCGUAACUGGUCUGAGGGGAUGAUCAGUGACACUGGAACUAGGACACGGUCCAGACUCCUACGGGAGGAGCCGGUGGGAAUUAUUGGACAUGGGGCGAAGUCCUAAUCCACCCAUGCCGCGUGUGUGAAGAAGUUCUUCGGAUUGAAAAGCACUUUAAGUGGGGAGGAAGGGCAGUAAGUUAAUACCUUGCUGUUUUGACGUUACCAACAGAAUAAGCACCGGCUAACUACGUG